Sinocyclocheilus anshuiensis is the source of this 212-nucleotide long non-coding RNA. RefSeq lists it as uncharacterized. NCBI's taxonomy places the organism in Eukaryota, Metazoa, Chordata, Actinopteri, Cypriniformes, Cyprinidae. The transcript is spliced from 4 exons. The record is from RefSeq and is a predicted model, not a curated record.
CAGAGCAGCUGAUGACUAUAGCCUAUGAAAAUGGGGUCAACCUCUUUGACACUGCAGAGGUCUAUUCAGCUGGGAAGGCUGAAAUAAUCCUAGGAAACAUUAUCAAGAAAAAGUGUUGGAGGAGAUCAAGUCUGGUCAUCACCACUAAACUGUACUGGGGAGGAAAGGCAGAGACAGAGCGUGGGCUCUCUAGGAAGCACAUUAUUGAAGGU